CUCAAAAGUAAUAUUAAAGAAUUAUUGUACAUUAGAUCUGCAAGUGCAGCAAAGGAAGCAAGCAAGAAAUUUUAAAAAAAUACUCACCGUAAAUUCCAUUUUCCAUAGGAUAAGUGGUAGUACAACAACAUCAGGACAGGCAGAAUUGAUCCUAUAAAAUUCUUAAUAUUAGUACCACCUUUAACCACCCCCCACAAUCUACAAGUACUUGCCUACCCCCAAAAAAAU
Molecule: non-coding RNA, 228 nt
Organism: Pelobates cultripes (western spadefoot toad)
Lineage: Eukaryota; Metazoa; Chordata; Amphibia; Anura; Pelobatidae
Source: the annotation of a GenBank genome assembly